UUUUCUUCAAGAUUUACCAAUACUCCUUAUUGGGAACAAUCUCCCCAUUUUUGAUGAUGAUCAAAAAUUCAAUUUUAAAAGCAACUUUGGCUUACUUGCAAAACUUACAAGCUAACAGACAACAACAAAGUUAGCAGUAUCUUUAUCAAUUUGUAUUAUACUUCUCCCCUUACCUUUAUCAAUUUGUAUUAUACUUCUCUCCUUAUAGUAUUCUUCUCCCCCUUUUUGGUCAUAAGCAAAAAGAUUAAUGUAAAAAUCUCCCCCUUAAUAUGAGCUCCCCCUC
Molecule: long non-coding RNA, 283 nt
Filed under: Vigna radiata
Lineage: Eukaryota; Viridiplantae; Streptophyta; Magnoliopsida; Fabales; Fabaceae
Description: long non-coding RNA (VRAD_LNC006339)
Source: RNAcentral